CAACAGGGAUUGCCUUAGUAACGGCGAGUGAAGCGGCAACAGCUCAAAUUUGAAAGCUGGCCCUUUCAGGGUCCGCGUUGUAAUUUGUAGAGGAUGAUUCGGCGAGGGCUCCCGCCUAAGUCCCCUGGAACGGGGCGUCAUAGAGGGUGAGAAUCCCGUAUGCGGUGGGCUGCCUUAGCCAUGUGAAUCUCCUUCGACGAGUCGAGUUGUUUGGGAAUGCAGCUCUAAAUGGGAGGUAAAUUUCUUCUAAAGCUAAAUACCGGCCAGAGACCGAUAGCGCACAAGUAGAGUGAUCGAAAGAUGAAAAGCACUUUGGAAAGAGAGUUAAAAAGUACGUGAAAUUGUUGAAAGGGAAGCGCUUGCAACCAGACUUGUCCGCAGUUGCUCAGCCGGUCUCCUGACCGGCGUACUCUUCUGCGGCCAGGCCAGCAUCAGUUCGGGCGGUCGGAUAAAGACCUCGGGAAUGUAGCUCCUCUCGGGGAGUGUUAUAGCCCGGGGUGGAAUGCGGCCAGCCUGGACUGAGGAUCUCGCUUCGGCAAGGAUGCUGGCGUAAUGGUUGUAAGCGGCCCGUCUUGAAACACG
Molecule: ribosomal RNA, 582 nt
Filed under: Diplodia sapinea
Lineage: Eukaryota; Fungi; Ascomycota; Dothideomycetes; Botryosphaeriales; Botryosphaeriaceae
Description: LSU rRNA
Rfam family: Eukaryotic large subunit ribosomal RNA
Source: RNAcentral